This 71-nucleotide transfer RNA is filed under the name Salmonella enterica subsp. enterica serovar Weltevreden. RNAcentral's name for it is "tRNA-Thr". The stretch from base 10 to 68 matches the Rfam family "tRNA". From Rfam's summary of the family: Transfer RNA (tRNA) molecules are approximately 80 nucleotides in length. Their secondary structure includes four short double-helical elements and three loops (D, anti-codon, and T loops). The record is from RNAcentral. Lineage: Bacteria; Pseudomonadati; Pseudomonadota; Gammaproteobacteria; Enterobacterales; Enterobacteriaceae.
GCGGCAGNAGUUGGUAGAGCGCACCCUUGGUAAGGGUGAGGUCCCCAGUUCGACUCUGGGUAUCAGCACCA